GAUGAACGCUGGCGGCGUGCCUAAUACAUGCAAGUCGAGCGAACAGACGAGGAGCUUGCUCCUCUGACGUUAGCGGCGGACGGGUGAGUAACACGUGGAUAACCUACCUAUAAGACUGGGAUAACUUCGGGAAACCGGAGCUAAUACCGGAUAAUAUAUUGAACCGCAUGGUUCAAGAGUGAAAGACGGUUUUGCUGUCGCUUAUAGAUGGAUCCGCGCCGCAUUAGCUAGUUGGUGAGGUAACGGCUUACCAAGGCAACGAUGCGUAGCCGACCUAAGAGGGGGAUCGGCACACUGGGACUGAGACACGGGCCAGACUCCUUCGGGAGGCAGGCGGGGGGAAAUCUGCAGAAUGGGGGGAAGCCUUAUCGAGGAAAGCCGCGGGGAGUGAGAAGGCUUUCCGGUUCGAAAAUCCUUGUAUUAGGGAAGAACAAAUGUGUAAGUAACUAUGCACGUCUUGACGGUACCUAAUCAGAAAGCCACGGCUAACUACGUG
This 496-nucleotide ribosomal RNA is filed under the name uncultured bacterium. RNAcentral describes it as "partial 16S ribosomal RNA". It matches the Rfam family "Bacterial small subunit ribosomal RNA", at positions 28 to 507 of the family's 1533-position model. The record is from RNAcentral.